Molecule: ribosomal RNA, 468 nt
Filed under: uncultured bacterium
Lineage: Bacteria
Description: partial 16S ribosomal RNA
Rfam family: Bacterial small subunit ribosomal RNA
Source: RNAcentral
GACGAACGCUGGCGGCGUGCUUAACACAUGCAAGUCGAACGGAAAGGCCCUGCUUUUGUGGGGUGCUCGAGUGGCGAAAGGGUGAGUAACACGUGAGUAACCUGCCCUUGACUUUGGGAUAACUUCAGGAAACUGGGGCUAAUAACGGAUAGGAGCUCCUGCUGCAUGGUGGGGGUUGGAAAGUUUCGGCGGUUGGGGAUGGACUCGCGGGUUAUCAGCUUGUUGGUGGGGUAGUGGCUUACCAAGGCUUUGACGGGUAGCCGGCCUGAGCGGGUGACCGGCCACAUUGGGACUGAGAUACGGCGCAGACUCCUACGGGAGGCAGCAGUGGGGAAUAUUGCACAAUGGGCGGAAGCCUGAUGCAGCAACGCCGCGUGCGGGAUGACGGCCUUCGGGUUGUAAACCGCUUUCGCCUGUGACGAAGCGUGAGUGACGGUAAUGGGUAAAGAAGCACCGGCUAACUACGUG